This 416-nucleotide ribosomal RNA is filed under the name Bacillota bacterium. RNAcentral's name for it is "Firmicutes bacterium partial 16S ribosomal RNA". It matches the Rfam family "Bacterial small subunit ribosomal RNA", at positions 355 to 776 of the family's 1533-position model. The record is from RNAcentral. Lineage: Bacteria; Bacillati; Bacillota.
UGGGGAAUCUUGCACAAUGGGCGAAAGCCUGAUGCAGCGACGCCGCGUGGGGGAUGAAGCAUCUCGGUGUGUAAACCCCUUUCGAUUCGGACGAAUGCCCGCAAGGGAGUGACGGUACGGAUAUAAGAAGCCCCGGCUAACUACGUGCCAGCAGCCGCGGUAAGACGUAGGGGGCCAGCGUUGUUCGGAAUUACUGGGUGUAAAGGGUUCGUAGGCGGUGCGGCAAGUUGGGAGUGAAAUCUCUGGGCUUAACCCAGAGGCUGCUUCCAAAACUGCUGUGCUCGAGUGUGGGAGGGGCGCGUGGAAUUGCAGGUGUAGCGGUGAAAUGCGUAGAUAUCUGCAGGAACACCCGUGGCGAAAGCGGCGCGCUGGACCACUACUGACGCUGAGGAACGAAAGCUAGGGGAGCAAACAGG